AACGAACGCUGGCGGCAUGCCUAACACAUGCAAGUCGAACGAGACCUUCGGGUCUAGUGGCGCACGGGUGCGUAACGCGUGGGAAUCUGCCCUUGGGUUCGGAAUAACAGUGAGAAAUUACUGCUAAUACCGGAUGAUGACGAAAGUCCAAAGAUUUAUCGCCCAAGGGUGAGCCCGCGUAGGAUUAGCUAGUUGGUAAG
Molecule: ribosomal RNA, 200 nt
Filed under: uncultured bacterium
Lineage: Bacteria
Description: partial 16S ribosomal RNA
Rfam family: Bacterial small subunit ribosomal RNA
Source: RNAcentral